GGUUAUUACAGAAUAUUGAGUAUAGUUCCCUGUGCUGCACAGUAGGUCCUUGUUGAUGAUCUGUUUUACAUAGAGUCGUGUGUAUAUGUUAAUUCCAACCUCCUAUUUUAUCCCUUCCCCCACCUUUCCCCUUUGACAACCAUCCAUUUGUUCUCCUGGUUUUCUCAAAGAGAAAAUAAACUCCAAGACCUCAGUGGUGAAGAUUUCAACUGUUUUGUGUUUAAGAGCCUAAGCAGCAUGUCUAAAUCGUUGGAAAACACACACAUUUCCCAACACUCUCCCCUCCCUCCAAGCACGAAUUCUUCUUCUUUAAUAAGGUGAUCUGGCCAGGCCUGGGUACAUUAUCAGUGAGCGAAUUUGGCAGGUAAAUGCAAAACCAAGAUCAUCUGUAUUCCAUUCCUUGUGAAAUUCCAAGCCGCAUUACUAAAGACUCAGGCAUAAAAGUUUCGAAUCUGUGUCUUUGCGUGAAUUUAAUCAUCUCCAUCAGGAUCCUUAAGGAAUUACAAUAACAGUGAUUCAUUCAUAAUUCACAAUUUCCAUUAUCUUCUUUCUACAUCUAGUGUGGGGGGUAAAAUUUAUGGCUUCAUUUACAUUGUGUUCUAUGAAUAAUAGAAGAAAUACAGUAAAGACCCAUGGAAAUGUUCUUGCUGCAGACGCACUUCAGAGCACAUCUGCAUCACAAUAGCCGCCUCGCCUUUGUACAGUGCAGGAUCCGCGCCGAGCUUGCAGCUGCGAAGGGAACAUUUCAAAGGGGCCAUUCUCAUUAUACAGAGUCCUCUCUUUCUUUGAACUUCAAAGCAGAAGGAGGAGACCUUAAACGAUAUUUGGUAGGUAAGUGGUGAAAUUGUAACUUCAGGUAUAAAAUAUCUUCAAUUAUGUGUAUGGGGAAACACAGCCUUUCAGCGGAGCAAAUAGGUUUGCUCAGAAUGAUAUCAGGCUGGUUGGCAGGAACAAAUUUAAUCUUAAGAUUUCUUUGAGCUCUUGGGGCCUGGAAGAUAAUCCCGAUCAAAGUCCUCCUUUUGUAAAUGGGGAAACCGAGGCAAAGAGGAAGAAAGUGACUUAUCCAAGGUCAUGUAGUAGAGGGACGGCCAGGAGCACCAUCAGACCCCAGGCUCCUGUCCCAGGGUUCUUUCCAGCAGACUGCAGUACCUUUGUUUUAAACACAAAGCACCUGGCUUUGUGAUAUGGCAAUAAAGCUUGCAGUAAGCCUCUUGGUGAGGGAUUUUCAAACAUGGAGCAAAGACAUUUUCAAGGAUCCCCGCCCCCCCACCGCCGCCACCGCCCAAUAAUAAUCUCUCUCAAUUGAAAAAUCUUCACUGAAAAACAUUUUUGAGAUUUGAAGAAAGAAAUUUGUCAUACUUCUGCGAUUAAGUAAAUCUCAUUUUUCUUCUCCCGAGGAACGACAAGAAAGCUGAUGAAAACCUUACGACAUUCAGAUUUCUUCUCCUGGUGUCUGGUAGUAAGUAGCCCAGUGCAAUGCUUCAUUACUGCUCCAUCCGCCAAAGAAUAAAAACCCACCCAUCUGUUUACAGAAUGAUCUGUCCUUUGAAUUGGGAGCUUUCCAGCGACCAUAUGGAACCUGACCUCGCCAAGCCAAGCUCCGUUCACAUAGUAGAGGGUCCGUGCGUUUUUGUUAAAAAGAUUAAAUGAACAAAUGUGCAUUUACUUGUAGUUGGUUGGAGGCUCUAAAGGAUUGUUUCUCAAACCUGCUGUGUUCAUCCUUCCCUUUCCUGUGCCAUGCUUCCUACUUCGCCACCAGCCCUGGUCUGUUCCUCUUUUGUGUUUGAAGAGAACGCAAAUAAUUUGCCUAUGAACCCACCUAUCUUUAAAGCUGUUGGGAAGGAGCUCUCGUUUGCUUAUGGAAGCAUCACAUCGCAAGUUCCAGCUCUACUCUUAUUAAAGUAGUUCAGAUAUUACGUGAGUGGGGAGGCCUUUUGUAGCCGGAAAGGGCCACUGAUAUUAGUAGGCAAAACACAUACAAACUCAACAGCGCCGUGCCUCGCAGAUGCAUAUUCUCUGUGAUCCAACAUGUCUAAUACAUUUAGUCAUGCACAAUAAAAACCAAACAAAGGAAUCAACCAUUGGCCUUUCACUGCCCGCUUCCCACCCCAAGCUUGAAGGAAUUCCUCCAGUUACACACACCAAAACCAAAAUAAUGUGUCUCCCUUCUCUGUGCCCUAGCAAGAGAACUCAAAGUGCAUUUGUUAUAGACAGAAAAAGGAAAAAAAAAAGGGUAGAUUUCUUUGUUUACCUUCUUGGGCUAAGUGCUUGCACCCCCCUAUUCCGGAAGUUUGGAGGCAAGUUGAUUUCAUUUUAUAAAGAGCAUUCUAGUAUGUCUGACAGAGAAGAGUUAAGCAAACAGUCAUAAACUUGCAUUUCUGUAGUUUACAACGUAACCAAGAUCCAACCUUUGGCCCAUUUCAAAAGUCUGCCCACUACACUAAACCCGGCUUAAGACACUCCUUCAGUUCCAGGGUUAAAACACACCACCUGCCUAAUUUCUAAGUGUCUGCUUUGUACCCGCCAGGCUGUUAUUCAUUCAGUUAAGAAGAAAACCUGUUUAUUAAGCAUAGGAUGGAGACCAGAUUUUUGAUUUUGACUUGGACAACUCCUGACGAUUCUAAGAACCUGACAGCCUAUAGGACUUCUCUCCUUCCCAUGAAUUUUUUUGCUCUCUGCCCCAUCGUAAUGGGGUGGGGGAAGGGGUUGGUGGGAAAUUAAAUUUGUAUGUGCUUCGUUUCUGGAUCUUGGUUCUUUUUCGUUUGGUCAUAGAGACUCAAGUUUUGUCUAAUUCUACGCUGACAAUUCUCUUCUGAAAGAGACACGGAGGUAAAAUAAAACCAUUAACUUUCUUUUAUAGGAGCAAAGAGAAGAGAGAGUUUCUGCUUUGUUGGGGCCCCCAAAUAAAUUUUGUUUUUUUCUCUGGGCAAGUGCCUCUUUAUUCUACUUUAUUUUAUGUGUGUAUGUAUUUACUUUGGGUGAUGGAGUUUAGAGUAAGCAAGAGCAAACUCGUAGUUAUUGCCUGAGAAGUUCAUGUAAGAUUGACAACUGGUGGCUUAAGAGUAGACCUGGAAUGUCCAGACAGAAAAUCUUGGACCUCCUAGGUUAGUGAUUUUUAACUUGGGGUGAUUUUGUCCUCCAGGAGCUGUUUGGCAAUGUCUGGAGACAUCUUUGCUCGUCACAGUUAGAAACCAGAGCGUUCCCCUUGUGGCUCAGUGGGUUAAGAACACAAUAUAGUGUCUGUGAGGAUGUGGGUUUGAUCCCCAGUCUUGCUCAGGGGGUUAACGAUCUGGCAUUGCCGCAAGCUGCAAUGUAGUUUUCAGAAGCGGCUUGGAUCUGGUGUUGCUGUGCCUCUGGUGUAGGCCCCAGCGGUAACUCCAAUUUGAACCCUAGCCUGGGAGCUUCUAUACACUGCAGGUACAGCCCUAAAAAGAAAAAAGAAAAGAAAAGGAACCAGACAUGCUGUUAUAUAUUCUACUGUGCACAGGACUGCCCCCAUUUCAAAGAAUUAUCCUACCCCAAAUGUCAGUGGUGCCAAGGUUGAUGAACUCUGCAGAUGAAGUGUCACCUAGAAUAUUGUAUCUGCUUCUAAGUCUAAUACUUUAAUAAAAAUCUUGUCAAUCUGGAGCUUGUCCCAGGAGGGUGGCAGGAAAGUGGGGUGCUUGUUCAGAUCUUAAACAAGGUAAGGGAGAAGGGACCACGGCUGUUAAAUCCACAGAAAAGGAGGCUAAGGAGACAUGGGAGUUCGUUCUGCUACUUCAUAGACCAAAAUGAAUGAACUCCAUAGGGACAGAGAUUUUUGGCUUAACAUGUGGAAGCUAUUUCUCCUUUUUUUUUUUCCUUUUUUGUCUUUUUAGGGCCGCACCUGUGGCAUAUGGAAGUUCCCAGGCUAGGGGUCGAAUCGGAGCUGCCACAGCCAUAGCAACGCCAGGUUCGAGCCACGUCUGUGACCUACACCACAGCUCACAGCAAUGCCGGAUCCUUAACCCACUGAGUGAGGCCAGGGAUCGAACUCAUGUCCUAAUGGAUCCUAGUCGGGUUUGUUAACCACUGGGCCACGACAGGAACUCCUUCCUUUUUUUAAUUUUCAUAAAAAUAUAGUUGAUUUACAAAUGUGUUAAUUUCAGAUGUACAGCAAAAUGAUUCAUUUUGUUACAUACACACACAUACACACACAUAUAAAUAAAUAUAUUAAUUAUUUUUUACAUUAUCUUCAUUACAGAUUUGGUUUUGUUUGUUUGUUUUUUGUCCUUUUCAGGGCCACACCUGUGGCAAACGGAGGUUCCCAGCCUAGGGUUGAACAGGAGCUGUAGCCAUCAGCCUACGCCACAGCCACAGCAACACAAGAUCCAAGCCACAUCUGCAAGCUACACCACAGCUCAUGGUGAUGCUGGAUCCCUCACCCACUGAUCGAGGCCAGGGAUCGAACCUGCAACCUUAUGGUAAUUAGUCAGAUUUGUUUCUGCUGCACCAUAACAAGAACUCUUAGUCUAGUUUUCAUAUAAUGUCUGCUCACUAUAGGGAAUUUCAGAGUACAGGGUUUAUAGUCAUAAUGAUAUGUUUUUCUUUUUAGAGCUACAUGAUUUCUGUUCAUUUUGCAUUAGCGUGGUAAUUGAAAAUGAAGCUUUAGAGUCAGUCAGAGCAAAUUUUAAAUCUUAGUUGUGUCUCCUAUUGGUUGUGCAUCUUUCGGUAAAUUUAAUCUCUCUGAGUUUUGGUUUCCACAUCUGUGAAAUGGAGAUAAUACCUGUACUUUGCUUAGAGGGGGAGUGUGAGGAAUAAAUGAAAUAAUAUAGGUAAAGUGCUUCGUGGGACUUUUGGAAAGUUAAGACAACAUUUGAAAUCCAUGCAUCUUACUCGCUGACUUUCAUUCUCUCCUGAAAUACCACUAAAUGAAAUGUUUUGUUUGGAAUACAUGCAUGGGAGAGGAGACGGAGACAUCCAAUUUUGAGAGGCCUUUAACCAUACACAGGGUAAAACAGUACAUAGACUUAGCACACUUCCAAAAAUGGAACCUCAGGCCUGCAGGGUGGAAAGCUAAAAACCAACAUGAUUUAAGCCACAGACCCAAAGGCUUGGAAUCAGGUUUACAGAUGGGGUAAAGAAGGGGUUCAGAAUCCAGGAGGAUUGUUUGAAAGCCUGUUUCAGAAUAGCUCCAGCCUCAAAUCCCCUCCACUUGGCACACAGCUAAACAACUGGCCCUCCUGCACCCCCCAAAAAGGAGUCGGAAUUUCUUCUCUGGAGAGGUUAAAACAGAGGAUCUCUGGAUUUCGGGAUCCCAGACAUACCUGAAGGUGAGGUUCCCCUACUGAAAACAUAAGGUUUAAGUGAAUGAAUGGAUUCCGGUUGCUAAGACCUCCACUGCUCCCCUUACUCAGAUUCUGGAAGUGAAACUCUGGCCUUUUUCCUUCCUAGGAGAUAGAGUCUUUUCUGGGGAAUUUGAUCUGCUUUGUGGAUAUUUUUCAAGAGAACAACCCAGCUAAAUCACCCAGUCCAGUUCAAUCAGUAUGGCCCACUCAGAACUUCUAGUCUGUAUUUUCUCCCCACACUCUUGAAUCAGCAGACACCUGGAUGAGCAGACUUAAGAGAAAGCUUAAGCACUAAAAUAUAGAAAUAAAAAUGAUCAACAAUGCUAACAAAACAAUCUGGUAAAAAUGGAGACCAUGCACGGAAAAGAAUUUAAGAAAAAGAAUCCUUUUAUCAUUGCAUGCAUAAAGCAAGAAUGGGAUGCUUUAAACACAUUUAGGGAACAAAUGAUUUACUAAGAACUCACAAUAAUUAAAAAUGAGAGCAGUGAGAAAUUCAACAGAAGAGUUUGAGGGUUAAGCUGAGGAAAAGAGUAAGCCAAGACAAUCUCCUGGGAAGUAGAGUAAAAAGAUGAAGUGACAGAGAGAAAUAAAAUUUAGAGAACCAGUCUGGGAGGUACAAUAUCCAAAGGAUGGGAAUUCCAGAAAGAGAACAUGGAAGGAGAGAUAAUUGAAGAACAUUUCUCAGAAGCCAAGGGUGGGUUCCCAGAUAGGGAGGGCUACAGAGUUAUCAGCACCGUGCAUGGAAAAAGACACAUCCACAUAUCUGAGAAUAUUGG
Molecule: long non-coding RNA, 6082 nt
Filed under: Sus scrofa (pig)
Lineage: Eukaryota; Metazoa; Chordata; Mammalia; Artiodactyla; Suidae
Description: lncRNA (ENSSSCG00000053645.1)
Source: RNAcentral